RNAcentral lists this ribosomal RNA (464 nucleotides) under Vreelandella stevensii. RNAcentral's name for it is "partial 16S ribosomal RNA". It matches the Rfam family "Bacterial small subunit ribosomal RNA", at positions 338 to 795 of the family's 1533-position model. Lineage: Bacteria; Pseudomonadati; Pseudomonadota; Gammaproteobacteria; Oceanospirillales; Halomonadaceae. The record is from RNAcentral.
CCUACGGAGGCUGCAGUGGGGAAUAUUGGACAAUGGGCGAAAGCCUGAUCCAGCCAUGCCGCGUGUGUGAAGAAGGCCUUCGGGUUGUAAAGCACUUUCAGUGGGGAAGAAAGCCUUGGGGCUAAUACCCUCGAGGAAGGACAUCACCCACAGAAGAAGCACCGGCUAACUCCGUGCCAGCAGCCGCGGUAAUACGGAGGGUGCGAGCGUUAAUCGGAAUUACUGGGCGUAAAGCGCGCGUAGGCGGUCUGAUAAGCCGGUUGUGAAAGCCCCGGGCUCAACCUGGGAACGGCAUCCGGAACUGUCAGGCUAGAGUGCAGGGGAGGAAGGUAGAAUUCCCGGUGUAGCGGUGAAAUGCGUAGAGAUCGGGAGGAAUACCAGUGGCGAAGGCGGCCUUCUGGACUGACACUGACGCUGAGGUGCGAAAGCGUGGGUAGCAAACAGGAUUAGAUACCCCGGUAGUC